This 273-nucleotide long non-coding RNA is filed under the name Setaria viridis. RNAcentral describes it as "long non-coding RNA (SVIR_LNC006575)". Lineage: Eukaryota; Viridiplantae; Streptophyta; Magnoliopsida; Poales; Poaceae. The record is from RNAcentral.
UAGCAUCGCGGCUAUCCCUACGAGCGCAGGAGUCUGUGGAGCGAAGGUGGCCUCAAUCUACGAGGAAUCUUCUAGCACCGGUGCACUGUUUAAUGGCUCUCUACACUCAAACAGAAGGCAGUCCAUCGCUUCUCAGGAACUUGAGUUGGUCCGCCCACCAGAUGGCCCUAUUUAUAGCCGAAAGCCACAACUACCACCGGCCCAAGAGUUACUGUGCACCCGUGAUCAAUAAGUCUGACAACUCCUGACUCUGCCCACAUGACCGCACUCACG